RNAcentral lists this ribosomal RNA (2902 nucleotides) under Shigella sonnei. RNAcentral describes it as "bacterial LSU rRNA". It matches the Rfam family "Bacterial large subunit ribosomal RNA". The record is from RNAcentral. Lineage: Bacteria; Pseudomonadati; Pseudomonadota; Gammaproteobacteria; Enterobacterales; Enterobacteriaceae. RNAcentral also lists the same sequence under 1 other name.
UUAAGCGACUAAGCGUACACGGUGGAUGCCCUGGCAGUCAGAGGCGAUGAAGGACGUGCUAAUCUGCGAUAAGCGUCGGUAAGGUGAUAUGAACCGUUAUAACCGGCGAUUUCCGAAUGGGGAAACCCAGUGUGAUUCGUCACACUAUCAUUAACUGAAUCCAUAGGUUAAUGAGGCGAACCGGGGGAACUGAAACAUCUAAGUACCCCGAGGAAAAGAAAUCAACCGAGAUUCCCCCAGUAGCGGCGAGCGAACGGGGAGGAGCCCAGAGCCUGAAUCAGUGUGUGUGUUAGUGGAAGCGUCUGGAAAGGCGCGCGAUACAGGGUGACAGCCCCGUACACAAAAAUGCACAUAUUGUGAGCUCGAUGAGUAGGGCGGGACACGUGGUAUCCUGUCUGAAUAUGGGGGGACCAUCCUCCAAGGCUAAAUACUCCUGACUGACCGAUAGUGAACCAGUACCGUGAGGGAAAGGCGAAAAGAACCCCGGCGAGGGGAGUGAAAAAGAACCUGAAACCGUGUACGUACAAGCAGUGGGAGCACGCUUAGGCGUGUGACUGCGUACCUUUUGUAUAAUGGGUCAGCGACUUAUAUUCUGUAGCAAGGUUAACCGAAUAGGGGAGCCGAAGGGAAACCGAGUCUUAACUGGGCGUUAAGUUGCAGGGUAUAGACCCGAAACCCGGUGAUCUAGCCAUGGGCAGGUUGAAGGUUGGGUAACACUAACUGGAGGACCGAACCGACUAAUGUUGAAAAAUUAGCGGAUGACUUGUGGCUGGGGGUGAAAGGCCAAUCAAACCGGGAGAUAGCUGGUUCUCCCCGAAAGCUAUUUAGGUAGCGCCUCGUGAAUUCAUCUCCGGGGGUAGAGCACUGUUUCGGCAAGGGGGUCAUCCCGACUUACCAACCCGAUGCAAACUGCGAAUACCGGAGAAUGUUAUCACGGGAGACACACGGCGGGUGCUAACGUCCGUCGUGAAGAGGGAAACAACCCAGACCGCCAGCUAAGGUCCCAAAGUCAUGGUUAAGUGGGAAACGAUGUGGGAAGGCCCAGACAGCCAGGAUGUUGGCUUAGAAGCAGCCAUCAUUUAAAGAAAGCGUAAUAGCUCACUGGUCGAGUCGGCCUGCGCGGAAGAUGUAACGGGGCUAAACCAUGCACCGAAGCUGCGGCAGCGACGCUUAUGCGUUGUUGGGUAGGGGAGCGUUCUGUAAGCCUGCGAAGGUGUGCUGUGAGGCAUGCUGGAGGUAUCAGAAGUGCGAAUGCUGACAUAAGUAACGAUAAAGCGGGUGAAAAGCCCGCUCGCCGGAAGACCAAGGGUUCCUGUCCAACGUUAAUCGGGGCAGGGUGAGUCGACCCCUAAGGCGAGGCCGAAAGGCGUAGUCGAUGGGAAACAGGUUAAUAUUCCUGUACUUGGUGUUACUGCGAAGGGGGGACGGAGAAGGCUAUGUUGGCCGGGCGACGGUUGUCCCGGUUUAAGCGUGUAGGCUGGUUUUCCAGGCAAAUCCGGAAAAUCAAGGCUGAGGCGUGAUGACGAGGCACUACGGUGCUGAAGCAACAAAUGCCCUGCUUCCAGGAAAAGCCUCUAAGCAUCAGGUAACAUCAAAUCGUACCCCAAACCGACACAGGUGGUCAGGUAGAGAAUACCAAGGCGCUUGAGAGAACUCGGGUGAAGGAACUAGGCAAAAUGGUGCCGUAACUUCGGGAGAAGGCACGCUGAUAUGUAGGUGAAGUCCCUUGCGGAUGGAGCUGAAAUCAGUCGAAGAUACCAGCUGGCUGCAACUGUUUAUUAAAAACACAGCACUGUGCAAACACGAAAGUGGACGUAUACGGUGUGACGCCUGCCCGGUGCCGGAAGGUUAAUUGAUGGGGUCAGCGCAAGCGAAGCUCUUGAUCGAAGCCCCGGUAAACGGCGGCCGUAACUAUAACGGUCCUAAGGUAGCGAAAUUCCUUGUCGGGUAAGUUCCGACCUGCACGAAUGGCGUAAUGAUGGCCAGGCUGUCUCCACCCGAGACUCAGUGAAAUUGAACUCGCUGUGAAGAUGCAGUGUACCCGCGGCAAGACGGAAAGACCCCGUGAACCUUUACUAUAGCUUGACACUGAACAUUGAGCCUUGAUGUGUAGGAUAGGUGGGAGGCUUUGAAGUGUGGACGCCAGUCUGCAUGGAGCCGGCCUUGAAAUACCACCCUUUAAUGUUUGAUGUUCUAACGUGGACCCGUGAUCCGGGUUGCGGACAGUGUCUGGUGGGUAGUUUGACUGGGGCGGUCUCCUCCUAAAGAGUAACGGAGGAGCACGAAGGUUGGCUAAUCCUGGUCGGACAUCAGGAGGUUAGUGCAAUGGCAUAAGCCAGCUUGACUGCGAGCGUGACGGCGCGAGCAGGUGCGAAAGCAGGUCAUAGUGAUCCGGUGGUUCUGAAUGGAAGGGCCAUCGCUCAACGGAUAAAAGGUACUCCGGGGAUAACAGGCUGAUACCGCCCAAGAGUUCAUAUCGACGGCGGUGUUUGGCACCUCGAUGUCGGCUCAUCACAUCCUGGGGCUGAAGUAGGUCCCAAGGGUAUGGCUGUUCGCCAUUUAAAGUGGUACGCGAGCUGGGUUUAGAACGUCGUGAGACAGUUCGGUCCCUAUCUGCCGUGGGCGCUGGAGAACUGAGGGGGGCUGCUCCUAGUACGAGAGGACCGGAGUGGACGCAUCACUGGUGUUCGGGUUGUCAUGCCAAUGGCACUGCCCGGUAGCUAAAUGCGGAAGAGAUAAGUGCUGAAAGCAUCUAAGCACGAAACUUGCCCCGAGAUGAGUUCUCCCUGACCCUUUAAGGGUCCUGAAGGAACGUUGAAGACGACGACGUUGAUAGGCCGGGUGUGUAAGCGCAGCGAUGCGUUGAGCUAACCGGUACUAAUGAACCGUGAGGCUUAACCUU